UAAAACAAAUUCAAUUAUUCAUAUCCUUGAGUUCAUGAAAAAAUGCUUCAUAAGCAUGAGGAAUCACAUAAACUAACUAGGGGAAAAAAUUGAUAUGUUUUAUGCUUAAUCGAUUAUAUUUGAGACCUUGUGUCCAUCAAGUUUAAUUCAUCAAGAAAAGGGAGUAAAUAAGGUCAAAUUUUUUAAAAUAGAAAUCAACUGGUCCACUCAUAACCACUGUGAUUGACUCAGAACAACUGAAUAGAA
RNAcentral lists this unclassified non-coding RNA (246 nucleotides) under Hevea brasiliensis (rubber tree). The record is from RNAcentral. Lineage: Eukaryota; Viridiplantae; Streptophyta; Magnoliopsida; Malpighiales; Euphorbiaceae.